This is a long non-coding RNA of Leptinotarsa decemlineata (Colorado potato beetle), 877 nucleotides long. The record is from RefSeq and is a predicted model, not a curated record. NCBI's taxonomy places the organism in Eukaryota, Metazoa, Arthropoda, Insecta, Coleoptera, Chrysomelidae.
CAUAUCGUAUUCCAAUCUUUCUUUUUCACUAUGAGCCAUGUUGUCCAACUUCAAAAAACUACCGAACUACCGAGAUCGAACCCCACUAAAUCUUAAUACUUUGAUCCAUCCACGAGUCGAUCGACAAAAAAAUAAUAAUGACCCUAAUUUCUGAUUACGUACGUUAUUAUUUUGUUUACAUAUCUUUGAACCGAUUUAUAUGUUCGAGAUGUGAUGACUCUCAAACGCUUUGAUAUAAGCAAGUAAUAUACGUACACCUUGUAGGGUGUUAAUUAGAUUGUGAUUUGCCGAAAGGUGAUUGCGGCUUUUUAUAUACGUAAACCCGCCUUAUCGCAUGAGAUAUUGUUACUCGUAAUCGAUAUCAAAGUAAUUUAUUCGCACUUUAAUUGUUUAUCAACUGAUUUUGUACUGACGAUUGAAGCACUGAAGACCACUUACCUGGGCAGAAUCAUCCCAGCAUCAACUAGAUAAAUUCUCUCGAGAAAAAUAUCUGAUCGAGGCAGGAAUCGAACCCACGGUCUUCCAAUCGGGCGUACUACCACCGUGGCCAAUUCCACAACAGGUAAUAUGUAUUAUAAUCAUCCAGUCUUCCAGUCCACUUUUUAAGCUUACCGAUACAAUAUUGGUGCAUUCUUCAUAAUUUAUCAAUCAUGUCAGGCUAGGCACUAAGACAGAUUGACUUAAAAGGGAGAAAAUGGGAAUCUGAUUCAGCAAAAAGAAAAAAAAAUUAUCGAUUGAAGGAAAGUGAGAAAAUAGCCACUAAGUCAGUGACUUUGACUAGGGUUUUAAUGCGGCGACCAAGACAUCGUGUUUUUUUUAUUAAUUUUGAGUCGGGUUUUUUUAUUUUUUAUGUCGUUGUUUAAUGUUUCAAAAAAGU